Molecule: ribosomal RNA, 468 nt
Filed under: uncultured bacterium
Lineage: Bacteria
Description: partial 16S ribosomal RNA
Rfam family: Bacterial small subunit ribosomal RNA
Source: RNAcentral
GACGAACGCUGGCGGCGUGCUUAACACAUGCAAGUCGAACGGAAAGGCCCUGCUUUUGUGGGGUGCUCGAGUGGCGAACGGGUGAGUAACACGUGAGUAACCUGCCCUUGACUUUGGGAUAACUUCAGGAAACUGGGGCUACUACCGGAUAGGAGCUCCUGCUGCAUGGUGGGGGUUGGAAAGUUUCGGCGGUUGGGGAUGGACUCGCGGCUUAUCAGCUUGUUGGUGGGGUAGUGGCUUACCAAGGCUUUGACGGGUAGCCGGCCUGAGAGGGUGACCGGCCACAUUGGGACUGAGAUACGGCCCAGACUCCUACGGGAGGCAGCAGUGGGGAAUAUUGCACAAUGGGCGGAAGCCUGAUGCAGCAACGCCGCGUGCGGGAUGACGGACUUCGGGUUGUAAACCGCUUUCGCCUGUGACGAAGCGUGAGUGACGGUAAUGGGUAAAGAAGCACCGGCUAACUACGUG